UUUAAGUGAAGCCAUAAGUUUCCGCUCCCAAUUUUAAUCAUUCGACUUAUUUGAAAAAUUUUUUUAUAAUUAGUAUUUUUGUUGUUAUGAAAUGAUAAAGUAUAAAUAGUACUUUACUCCUAACUUAUGUUUUUAAUUUUUUUCAAAAGUUUUUAAAUAAAAUGGACGGUUAAAAUUGGGCGCGAAAAAACCAAAACUGUAUUUAAA
Molecule: non-coding RNA, 207 nt
Organism: Oryza nivara
Lineage: Eukaryota; Viridiplantae; Streptophyta; Magnoliopsida; Poales; Poaceae
Source: Rfam